RNAcentral lists this microRNA precursor (119 nucleotides) under Olea europaea subsp. europaea. Lineage: Eukaryota; Viridiplantae; Streptophyta; Magnoliopsida; Lamiales; Oleaceae. The record is from RNAcentral.
AACUCCAAAAGAUUCGGUCGGAAUAAACCUACAAAGUCAGUAUCCCGAAAAUGCGAAAAUCUGGACAGAGUUCGAGAUGCUGACUUUGUGAGUUUAUUCCGAUCGAAUUCUUUGGAGUU